UUUUGUUUGCCGCGCGGCGGAUUCUCUCACGGACGCUCGGAAGACUCCGAGGAGGAGCCAGGUUUGAUCUUUAAAAAAACGUAUCCCGUGAGUUUGUUGUGGGGUGGUAGCCGUUGAGUGGCCCCCUUUCAUCGCGAUCAGUUAGAACCCCAGGCUGCUUAAUAGACCCCAACAGGGGCGAGCGUGUCCGCGGUUACGCCCUUGAGGGUAAUGCAACAAAACCUUGGGCAGUAAGAGUGGGGCUUGGGCCCGUUUCGGGGGUCGGGGUGAGGACGGCCGAUGCUUAUUCUCCACCUCUGCUAACUGCGGACUCUCAGCCAGUGACCUCACUUCCUUCUUAGUGGACAUCAUCACUUAGCUGUGUGUUUAACCUCAGUCAAGCUCUCAACGUCAUCAGAUCCAGAUAGACCAGGAAGAGAAAAGAGCAGAGUUCACUGUAAGCUAACAAGUGCAUAAGAAUGUACCUUUCUGCAAGUAGUGAUACAGGGCUUUAUUCAUGGCCAGGUGUGUGUAAUGGGGGGGGAAAAAGGAUUUUAGGAUUGUAUUUCAUUAUAAAGUCCCGCGUAUGAUCUUCAGCCGGAGAUAGGUCUAGGUUCCUAGAACUUGGAGUCAGUCCUCUGCAACAUCAUUGUCUUCCUGUACUCGGCGUCAGUUCAGUUCUCGGUGUGUGUGAGAAAGUGGUGCUAAGGCUGUUUAUUGUGAGCUUCUGGCUUCCUUCAGCCCGUGGAGUAAUCCUGGAGAAGGUAAAACUCCCUGAAAAUCCUGGCCUUGGGUGUGUCAUGUGCCCUUCUGACCAUCUGUCAGGCCAAGGUCUUAAUUCCCCACCGUCACCUAACCUGUGUGGAGUGUUGUGGGAGAGAGAUGUCCAAAAGGAAAAAGAACUACCACCUUGGCACGGUGAUGAGGGACUGACAAGAGACUCUUCUGCUGCCAGUGAGUGGCUGCUUCUGUCACCUUCCAUCCCCUAGGAGAGUCACGAAAGAUACUGCUGUUCCGAUUGAGGCAGACGAGGAGCAGAUAGGGCAGCAGAUAGUGAAUCAUAAGUAUGGUGUUAUAUGCUUAACAGCAAGUUUGAGGCAGGAGAUGCAGCCUAGUGAUAGAAUACUUGCCUACUCCUCGAGAGGCUCUAGGUUUAAUUUCCAAUGCUGAAAGAAAAAAACAGAAGUUAAAGCUGAUCAUAGUGUUGGAUGCCUUGAACGUCAGCACUUGGGAAGCAGAGGCAGAAGGAUCUUUGAGUUUGAGGUCAGCCUGGUUUACACAGGACAUAGGCACUGAGACCUUGUCUCAAAAAAAAAAAAAAAAGUUAAAAGCAAGUAUGAGAAAGAAUUUCCUCCUGUGGUUGACUAGGCAGAAUUUUUUAAAAAAUAAGUUUAUGUAACCCCAGCUCUCCUGGACUUCUCUCUGUAGACAAGGCUGGCCUUGAACUCACAAAGAUAUGCCUGUCUCUGCCUCCCAAGUGCCAGGAUUGAAAAUGUGCACUAAACUAUUUUUUUAAGACAGGAUCUUC
This 1507-nucleotide long non-coding RNA is filed under the name Mus musculus (house mouse). RNAcentral's name for it is "long non-coding RNA chr4:155944198-155945705". Lineage: Eukaryota; Metazoa; Chordata; Mammalia; Rodentia; Muridae. The record is from RNAcentral.